CUGAUAUACACUUGAGCUAGCUCUGGCACACUCAAAAUGAAAUUUUCAUAGUCCAAGAGCCAACCCCAGAAAAUCAUGAGUCGACUCCACUAGACAAGUCGAUCCCAUUAGAACAAAAGUUGAUUCCGAAAUGGUCUCAGGAUGCCAGAUAGAGAGCAACAAAAAAAGAUGUCAUGAACAUGAUUGACUCCAGAAAUUCAUGAGAUGACUCCAAUAGAUAAAUAACCCCACUUAAACAUGAGUCAAUUCUAAAAUGAUCUAAGGGUAC
RNAcentral lists this long non-coding RNA (268 nucleotides) under Elaeis guineensis (African oil palm). RNAcentral describes it as "long non-coding RNA (EGUI_LNC039360)". Lineage: Eukaryota; Viridiplantae; Streptophyta; Magnoliopsida; Arecales; Arecaceae. The record is from RNAcentral.